GAUGAACGCUGGCGGCGUGCUUAACACAUGCAAGUCGAACGGAAAGGCCCAAGCUUGCUUGGGUACUCGAGUGGCGAACGGGUGAGUAACACGUGGGUGAUCUGCCCUGCACUUCGGGAUAAGCCUGGGAAACUGGGUCUAAUACCGGAUAGGACCACAUUUUGGAUGGUGUGGUGGAAAGAUUUUCGGUGUGGGAUGAGCUCGCGGCCUAUCAGCUUGUUGGUGGGGUAAUGGCCUACCAAGGCGUCGACGGGUAGCCGGCCUGGGAGGGUGUAAGGCCACAUUGGGACAGAGAGACAGCCCAGAGUCCGACAGGGGGCAGAAGAGGGGAAUAUAGCACAAUGGGCGCGAGCCUGAGGCAGCGACGCCGCGUGGGGGAUGACGGCGUUCGGGUGGUAAACUCCUUUCGCGAGGGACGAGGCGUUUUUGUGACGGUACCUGGUGAAGAAGCACCGGCUAACUACGUG
Molecule: ribosomal RNA, 467 nt
Filed under: uncultured bacterium
Lineage: Bacteria
Description: partial 16S ribosomal RNA
Rfam family: Bacterial small subunit ribosomal RNA
Source: RNAcentral